Molecule: ribosomal RNA, 497 nt
Filed under: uncultured bacterium
Lineage: Bacteria
Description: partial 16S ribosomal RNA
Rfam family: Bacterial small subunit ribosomal RNA
Source: RNAcentral
GAUGAACGCUGGCGGCGUGCCUAAUACAUGCAAGUCGAGCGAACAGACGAGGCGCUUGCUCCUCUGACGUUAGCGGCGGACGUGUGAGUAACACGUGUAUAACCCACCUAUAAUACUGGUAUAACCUCGGGAAACCGGAGCUAAUACCGUAUAAUAUACUGAACCGCAGUGUUGAAUAGUGAGAUACGGCUUUGCUGUCACUUCUCGCUGCAUCCGCGCCGCAUUAGCUAGUUGUUAAGGUAACGGCUUACCAAGGGAACGAUGCGUAGCCGAACUGAGAGGCUGAUCGGCCACACUGGAGCGGAACCGCGGACAAUACGCCUACGGGAGGGAGCAGUAGCGAACCUUCCGCAACAGGCGAGAGCAUGACGGAGUGACGCGGAGUGAGUGAUGGAGGUCUUCGGAUCGUAAUACUGUGUUAUUAGGGAAGAACAAAUGUGGACGUAACUAUGCACUUCGUGACGGUAACUAAUAAGAAAGCCACGGCUAACUACGUG